UACUUAUUUUAAAUGUCCAUUUAACCACAUAAAUCCCUCCCUAGGUUUAACAUAUUAAGAGGAGAUAUAAAAGUAAUAUAAAAAUUAAGAGGCAAAAACUAUAAAACCCAACAAAUGGUUUAACAAAUUAUAGAAAGAAGCUAAAUAUACAAAAUUGAGAAGAAAACCCUACUUGAAUUUCACCAAGUUUCAUGUGCCUUUCUCAGAACUCUUCAAUAACCAUUUUCCUUCUCUCAACCUUAGGCAUAAAUGUUCUUAGUGAAGCUUCUCGAUGGAAUUAUUCCAAUUCGGCUCAAUCUUUCACCAUAGUGAGUUGUCUUUCAUAGUAUGUCAUUUUUCUCUAUGCUUUUGAUGAUAGCUAAUCUUCUCUAUUAAUCUCCUCUUCAUUGAUCCAAACUUAUUGAUUAGUUGUUUGAAUCCAUAGGGACUUAAAAUGUGUUUCCAUAAGGGAUUUCUCAUGAGAAUUUUUUGGUUAUCUAACUAAAUUUCUAGAUUCACUUCUUCAUUGAUUUCAACAAUCUUCUCCACCCAAGAAAAUGGAAGGAUUUAGACGAUAAGAGGAAAUGAAUCUGGACCGUAUGAUCGUAUUUAAAGAGGAAACGAAUAUGUGUCGUUCAUCGUAUUUAAUCGCGACUGUCUGAUCGCGCCUGAACAGGGAAUGGAUCCGGACUAUCCACGCACGCAGGAAUAAAUUCAGACCAUCCGAUUGCAGGCACGCAGAUUGCCAGCGUGGCCUUUCGUAAGACACCGAGUCAACGUGCCUUGCCAUGUGGCGCGCUCCGGUUCGUCGGGGCUGCUGAUUGGGCAGUCCUACGUGACACAUUUUUCUUAAAUUAUAUUUUGACCCCUAAUUUCUUAUUUUUCUUUAAAAAAUAUCCCCGAACCCAAAUUUUCAUCCUUUUUUUCCAAAAUUAUUUUCAAUUUCAUCCUCCACCUAUUUUUACCUAAUUUUUACAUUAAAUAAAAUUUAAAAAUUAUAUUUUUAUAUAUUAAUUUUAAUUUUUUUAAAAAUUAAUCCCGAGGUAAAUUUCAGGCCUGGGUAUUACAAUUUUCUUUAGUAAGAUUUAUGUGUUAAUAGAAUUUUUUUAGUUUAUUUAUGUGGCCCAUAUGGGCUUAGUAUUAAAUUAUUUAUGGGACAAUUAACCAAUGUAAUUAAUUCAUAAUGACUAAACACUUUUUAUUCAUCAUUACGAUUUAUUUAUCACAUCAAUAAAUUAGAUGAACAUAUAGUCACCACAAGUAUCAUCUAAUAAAAUAUAAGAACUCUUACAAGUACAUAAAAUUUUGAUUAUGAAUUUUAUAAUUAUUCGAUGGAUGCACAAUUACCAUAUAGUUAAUUCAUUUCAUUUAUUGUAUUUUAGAUUAACCCAAGAUAUGACUUAUACUAAACAAUACAAAACCCACUAUGUUGUUUAACAUAUUAUACUAAAAAAGCUAAGUAUACAAAAUUGAGCAUAAAACCCUACUUGAACUUCCCAUGUUUCAUAUGCCUUUCUCAUAAUUCUUCAAUAACCAUUUUCCUCCUCUUAACCUUAGGAAUAAAGGCUUUUAGUGAAGCUUCUCUAUAGAAUUAUUCUGAUUCCACUCAAUCUUUCACCACAGUGAGUUGUCUUCCAUAGUACAUUAUUUUUUUUUUAUGCUUUUGAUGAUUGUGCAUCUUCUCCAUUAAUCUCCUCUAUAUUGAUCCAAACUUAUUGAUUGGUUACCAUGGUCGUAUCUUACCACUGUGAGCCCUACAGAUCAUAUAGACUAAUGACCACGGUUGAACUUUUCCAUUAUGGCCCCUAUAUAUUAGAAUUCGAAUCCACUCUCGUCAAAGUCAAUGCUCAUACUAUUCACAAGGAGUGGUUCAUCAACAUCUUUCCAGACUUAGAUACAGAUAUAGGGGUAAGGACAAAAAGAAACCCCAAGUGAUAACAAUCCAAUGAAUUUUUCUGUUCUUUUCACUUGUUUUAUUAUUUUACAUUUGAACAAUGAUGUAAUCCAAUAAUAUUCAAUGACAAAUCUCAGCCUGCAGCGGCCUUUAUACUUGGACUUUGCCAUCGGGUAAUUUUUCUGAGUCUAGAUCCAAAGGAAGUAACCCUACCUAACAUUCUCCAAAGACAAUGUAAGGAGCCAAGUUCGUACAAUCAUGUUGUUUAAUUCUAAAGAUUAUAUCAUGUGUUUGAAAUGUUAAAUCACAUAAUCGUAGGGAAAACAUUCAAUUUCAAACAUCCGUUCACUUUUCAUGCAUGUAAAUAAAUCAACCUUCAUUAUUAAUCUAUCUAUAAAUUCACUUAGGAGUGCAAAAAAUACUAAAGAUUCCUUACCAAAAAUUGUGAAGCUUUUUGAGAUCCUAACGGAGAAGAUGGAAAUAUAUCCUUAAUGAUUAUUACGAUAAAAUAAUUUUAAACUCCUCAUCUCCCUAUUCCACACUUAACUCUCUUAAGCUUUAGAAGAAUGAAAAUAAGAUAGAAAAGUGUGAGAAAAAUAAAGGCGAAAUGGGUUUAUAUAGAAACACUAGGCAACUAGAGACCGCCAGACCGCAUAAGCAAUCAACAGCCACAAAAUGGCCAAGUGGCCAUUCCACCACCGUGGGUGGCGUACAUGUCCACCACAUGGCGGCAAUGCAUGCCCCUGGUCAAGUCAAUUGACGGAUGGGACAUUUGUCCAUCAAUCAGUCACCUUUAGUGACUGCACUCGUAGAGCAGCAUGGUGCAAGCUAAUGGGACAACCUAUCAAUGCGUAGGUAACCUGAUGCGACUGCUUGUCUAUGCACUGGCU
This 2763-nucleotide long non-coding RNA is filed under the name Carica papaya (papaya). RNAcentral's name for it is "long non-coding RNA (CPAP_LNC002189)". The record is from RNAcentral. Lineage: Eukaryota; Viridiplantae; Streptophyta; Magnoliopsida; Brassicales; Caricaceae.